Molecule: ribosomal RNA, 229 nt
Filed under: uncultured bacterium
Lineage: Bacteria
Description: partial 16S ribosomal RNA
Rfam family: Bacterial small subunit ribosomal RNA
Source: RNAcentral
CGGGGUGAGUAAUGUAUGGGGAUCUGCCUGAUGGCGGGGGAUAACUACUGGAAACGGUAGCUAAUACCGCAUAAUGUCUGCGGACCAAAGCGGGGGACCUCCGGGCCUCGCGCCAUCAGAUGAACCCAUAUGGGAUUAGCUAGUAGGUAAGGUAACGGCUUACCUAGGCGACGAUCCCUAGCUGGUCUGAGAGGAUGAUCAGCCACACUGGGACUGAGACACGGCCCAG